GUUUAUUCCUGAACAUAUACUAAAAUUGGAACAAUACAGACAAGAUUAGCAUGGCCCCUGCUCAAGGAUGGCACGUAAAUUUGGGAAGCGUUCCAAAACUUU
This 102-nucleotide small nuclear RNA is filed under the name Nippostrongylus brasiliensis. The record is from RNAcentral. Lineage: Eukaryota; Metazoa; Nematoda; Chromadorea; Rhabditida; Heligmosomidae.